This 264-nucleotide ribosomal RNA is filed under the name uncultured bacterium. RNAcentral describes it as "partial 16S ribosomal RNA". It matches the Rfam family "Bacterial small subunit ribosomal RNA", at positions 793 to 1055 of the family's 1533-position model. The record is from RNAcentral.
GUCCACACUGUAAACGAUGAUUGCUAGGUGUGGGGGUCUGACCCCUUCCGUGCCGGAGCUAACGCAAUAAGCAAUCCACCUGGGGAGUACGACCGCAAGGUUGAAACUCAAAGGAAUUGACGGGGACCCGCACAAGCAGUGGAUUAUGUGGUUUAAUUCGAAGCAACGCGAAGAACCUUACCAGCACUUGACAUCCAACUAACGAAUAGAGAUAUAUUAGGUGCCCUUCGGGGAAAGUUGAGACAGGUGGUGCAUGGUUGUCGU